RNAcentral lists this ribosomal RNA (800 nucleotides) under uncultured bacterium. RNAcentral describes it as "bacterial SSU rRNA". It matches the Rfam family "Bacterial small subunit ribosomal RNA", at positions 150 to 965 of the family's 1533-position model. The record is from RNAcentral.
AGAGAAAUUUGGAUUAAUACUCCAUAGUAUUAUAGAGUCACCUGGCUUUAUAAUUAAAGUUCCGGCGGUAAGAGAUGAGUAUGCGUCCUAUUAGCUAGAUGGUAAGGUAACGGCUUACCAUGGCGACGAUAGGUAGGGGUCCUGAGAGGGAGAUCCCCCACACUGGUACUGAGAUACGGUCCAGACUCCUACGGGAGGCAGCAGUAAGGAAUCUUCCGCAAUGGGCGAAAGCCUGACGGAGCGACGCCGCGUGCAGGAUGAAGGUCUUCGGAUCGUAAACUGCUUUUCUGUGGGACGAAAAUUCGGACGGUACCACAGGAAUAAGCGUCGGCUAACUACGUGCCAGCAGCCGCGGUAAUACGUAGGACGCAAGCGUUAUCCGGAUUUACUGGGUUUAAAGCGUGUGCAGGUUGUAGAUUAAGUCUGUGAUUAAAGGCUGAGGCUUAACCUCGGAAAAGUCAUAGAUACUGUUUUACUAGAGGGCAGAAGGGGAAGUGGAAUUCCCGGUGUAGGGGUAAAAUCCGUUGAUAUCGGGAGGAACAUCAGUGGCGAAAGCGACUUCCUAUACUGUUCCUGACACUAAGACACGAAAGCUAGGGGAGCGAAACGGAUUAGAUACCCGUGUAGUCCUAGCUGUAAACGAUGGAUGCUAGACGUUAGAGGUAUCGACCCCUCUAGUGUCGCAGCGAAAACAUUAAGCAUCCCACCUGGGGAGUACGGCCGCAAGGUUAAAACUCAAAGGAAUUGACGGGGACCCGCACGAGCAGCGGAGCGUGUGGCUUAAUACGAUGCUACGCGUA